Molecule: ribosomal RNA, 904 nt
Filed under: uncultured archaeon
Lineage: Archaea
Description: bacterial SSU rRNA
Rfam family: Archaeal small subunit ribosomal RNA
Source: RNAcentral
GUUAAAGUGCGCGAUACAAUCGUGGCUGUCUAGUUGCCUAAAAAGCAAUUGAUAGCAAGGGCCGGGCAAGACCGGUGCCAGCCGCCGCGGUAACACCGGCGGCUCGAGUGGUAACCGCUAUUAUUUGGUCUAAAGGGUCUGUAGCCGGCUUAGUUAGUCUCUUGAGAAAUCUGGCCGCUCAACGGUCAGGCGUUCAGGGGAUACUGCUAAAGCUCGAGACCGGGAGAGGUGAGAGGUACUUCAGGGGUAGGGGUGAAAUCUUGUAAUCCUUGAAGGACCACCAGUGGCGAAGGCGUCUCACCAGAACGGAUCUGACGGCAAGGGACGAAAGCUAGGGGCACGAACCGGAUUAGAUACCCGGGUAGUCCUAGCCGUAAACGAUACUCGCUAGGUGUCGGCCACGGUGCGACCGUGGUCGGUGCCGUAGGGAAGCCGUGAAGCGAGCCACCUGGGGAGUACGGCCGCAAGGCUGAAACUUAAAGGAAUUGGCGGGGGAGCACUACAACGGGUGGAGCUUGCGGUUUAAUUGGAUUCAACGCCGGAAAUCUUACCGGGGCCGACAGCGAUAUGAAGGCCAGGCUAAGGACCUUGCCCGAUUAGCUGAGAGGUGGUGCAUGGCCGUCGUCAGUUCGUACUGUGAAGCAUCCUGUUAAGUCAGGCAACGAGCGAGACCCACGCCCACAGUUGCCAGCGUAUCCUCAGGGAUGACGGGUACACUGUGGGGACCGCCGCUGCUAAAGCGGAGGAAGGAAUGGGCAACGGUAGGUCAGUAUGCCCCGAAUGCCCCGGGCUACACGCGAGCUACAAUGACUGGUACAAUGGUAUCUACCCCGAAAGGGGAUGGAAAUCUCCUAAAGCCAGCCUUAGUUCGGAUCGAGGGCUAUAACUCGCCGUCGUGAAGCUG